Molecule: ribosomal RNA, 492 nt
Filed under: uncultured bacterium
Lineage: Bacteria
Description: partial 16S ribosomal RNA
Rfam family: Bacterial small subunit ribosomal RNA
Source: RNAcentral
AGUGAACGCUGGCGGUAGGCCUAACACAUGCAAGUCGAACGGCAGCACAGUAAGAGCUUGCUCUUACGGGUGGCGAGUGGCGGACGGGUGAGGAAUACAUCGGAAUCUACUUUUUCGUGGGGGAUAACGUAGGGAAACUUACGCUAAUACCGCAUACGACCUACGGGUGAAAGCAGGGGAUCUUCGGACCUUGCGCGAUUGAAUGAGCCGAUGUCGGAUUAGCUAGUUGGCGGGGUAAAGGCCCACCAAGGCGACGAUCCGUAGCUGGUCUGAGAGGAUGAUCAGCCACACUGGAACUGAGACACGGUCCAGACUCCUACGGGAGGCAGCAGUGGGGAAUAUUGGACAAUGGGCGCAAGCCUGAUCCAGCCAUACCGCGUGGGUGAAGAAGGCCUUCGGGUUGUAAAGCCCUUUUGUUGGGAAAGAAAAGCAGCAGGUUAAUACCCCGCUGUUAUGACGGCACCCAAAGAAUAAGCACCGGCUAACUUCGUG